RNAcentral lists this ribosomal RNA (201 nucleotides) under uncultured Pseudomonadota bacterium. RNAcentral's name for it is "uncultured proteobacterium partial 16S ribosomal RNA". It matches the Rfam family "Bacterial small subunit ribosomal RNA", at positions 30 to 259 of the family's 1533-position model. The record is from RNAcentral. Lineage: Bacteria; Pseudomonadati; Pseudomonadota.
CGAACGCUGGCGGCAGGCCUAACACAUGCAAGUCGAACGCCCAGCAAUGGGAGUGGCAGACGGGUGAGGAACACGUGGGAACGUACCUUUUUGGUUCGGAAUAACUCAGGGAAACUUGUGCUAAAUACCGGAUAAGCCCUUCGGGGGAAAGAUUUAUUGCCAAAAGAUCGGCCCGCGUCUGAUUAGCUAGUUGGUGAGGUA